This is a long non-coding RNA of Clupea harengus (Atlantic herring), 408 nucleotides long. The record is from Ensembl. Lineage: Eukaryota; Metazoa; Chordata; Actinopteri; Clupeiformes; Clupeidae.
AGGGGCAGAAGCAGAGGGGCAGGGGGGGGGGCAGAUCUGUCGUCUGAGUUGUCUGGUGAUCCUGUGCUGUUCUCUCUGCAGACAGUCCUGUCUUGUGUAUAUAUAACAGCCAUGUGCCAAAGUGAGGUCAUAUUACAUGUGAGGUCAUAUUACAUGUGUAACAGUGAGGUCAUAUUACAUGUGUAACAGCCUGAGGUCAUAUUACAUGUGUCACAGUCUGAGGUCAUAUUACAUGUGUGUGUCACAGCCUGAGGGCUUUAUUACUGUAAGCCAACACAGCACAAGGACAAGCAUGUGCACAAUACCAAAGGAACUAUUUUAUAUUCAAUGUUCUGUUCCUAAAUUAUUUGUCAAUUUUGUGUUUUUGUAUGUUUCAAGCGGUUUUUACAUUUUAAUAAAGAUAAAUGU